CAGCCGCCGCGGGAAAACCGAGGGCGCAAGCGUUAAUCGGAAUUACUGGGCGUAAAGCGCGCGUAGGUGGUUUGUUAAGUUGGAUGUGAAAGCCCCGGGCUCAACCUGGGAACUGCAUCCAAAACUGGCAAGCUAGAGUACGGUAGAGGGUGGUGGAAUUUCCUGUGUAGCGGUGAAAUGCGUAGAUAUAGGAAGGAACACCAGUGGCGAAGGCGACCACCUGGACUGAUACUGACACUGAGGUGCGAAAGCGUGGGGAGCAAACAGGAUUAGAUACCCGGGUAGUCCCUGUCUCUUAUAC
This 301-nucleotide ribosomal RNA is filed under the name uncultured bacterium. RNAcentral's name for it is "partial 16S ribosomal RNA". It matches the Rfam family "Bacterial small subunit ribosomal RNA", at positions 509 to 807 of the family's 1533-position model. The record is from RNAcentral.